UGAGGUAUUCAUGGCGACUGUGUCAA
Molecule: non-coding RNA, 26 nt
Filed under: Rattus norvegicus (Norway rat)
Lineage: Eukaryota; Metazoa; Chordata; Mammalia; Rodentia; Muridae
Source: RNAcentral